AAAUGAAUUGACGGGGGCCCGCACAAGCGGUGGAGCAUGUGGUUUAAUUCGACGCAACGCGAAGAACCUUACCUACUCUUGACAUCUACAGAAGACUGCAGAGAUGCGGUUGUGCCUUCGGGAACUGUAAGACAGGUGCUGCAUGGCUGUCGUCAGCUCGUGUUGUGAAAUGUUGGGUUAAGUCCCGCAACGAGCGCAACCCUUAUCCUUAGUUGCCAGCGAUUCGGUCGGGAACUCUAGGGAGACUGCCGGUGAUAAACCGGAGGAAGGUGGGGACGACGUCAAGUCAUCAUGGCCCUUACGAGUAGGGCUACACACGUGCUACAAUGGUAUGUACAGAGGGAGGCGAUGCCGCGAGGCGGAGCGGAUCUCUUAAAGCAUAUCGUAGUCCGGAUCGCAGUCUGCAACUCGACUGCGUGAAGUCGGAAUCGCUAGUAAUCGCAAAUCAGAAUGUUGCGGUGAAUACGUUCCCGGGCCUUGUACACACCGCCCGU
This 494-nucleotide ribosomal RNA is filed under the name uncultured bacterium. Its description in RNAcentral is "bacterial SSU rRNA". It matches the Rfam family "Bacterial small subunit ribosomal RNA", at positions 903 to 1397 of the family's 1533-position model. The record is from RNAcentral.